Molecule: ribosomal RNA, 484 nt
Filed under: uncultured bacterium
Lineage: Bacteria
Description: bacterial SSU rRNA
Rfam family: Bacterial small subunit ribosomal RNA
Source: RNAcentral
GACGAACGCUGGCGGCGUGCUUAAUACAUGCAAGUCAACUUGACUUUAGAUAGCAAUAUCGAAAAGUAGGGUGGCGCACGGGUGCGUAACGCGUAGGUAAUCUGCCCUGAGGUCUGACAUAACCCGUCGAAAGGCGGGCUAACAUCAGAUGAUAUAUAAUCACGACAUCGUGGAAAUAUCAAAUCUUCGGAGCCUUGGGAUGAGCCUGCGUCUGAUUAGGUAGUUGGCGGAGUAAUAGCCCACCAAGCCUACGAUCAGUAGCUGGUCUGAGAGGAUGAUCAGCCACACUGGAACUGAGACACGGUCCAGACUCCUACGGGAGGCAGCAGUAAGGAAUAUUGCUCAAUGGGGGAAACCCUGAAGCAGCAACGCCGCGUGAAGGAUGAAAUACUUUUGUAUGUGAACUUCUGUAAGAUGGGAAAAUAUUACUCCUCGGGAGAAUUGAUUGUACCAUCAGAGUAAGCCCCGGCUAACUACGUGCCAG